GAUGAACGCUGGCGGCGUGCCUAAUACAUGCAAGUCGAACGAAACUUCUUUAUCACCGAGUGCUUGCACUCACCGAUAAAGAGUUGAGUGGCGAACGGGUGAGUAACACGUGGGCAACCUGCCCAAAAGAGGGGGAUAACACUUGGAAACAGGUGCUAAUACCGCAUAACCAUAGUUACCGCAUGGUAACUCUGUAAAAGGUGGCUAUACUACCGCUUUUGGAUGGGCACGCGGCGCAUUAGCUAGUUGGUAGGGUAAAGGCUUACCAAGGCAAUGAUGCGUAGCCGAAUUGAGAGGUUGAUCAGCCACAGUGGGACUGAGACACGGCCCAGACUCCUACGGGAGGCAGCAGUAGGGAAUCUUCCACAAUGGGCGAAAGCCUGAUGGAGCAACGCCGCGUGGGUGAAGAAGGUCUUCGGAUCGUAAAGCCCUGUUGUUAGGGAGGAAAGGGCGUGAGAGAAACUGUUCACGUUUCGACGGUAUCUAACCAAAAAGCCACGGCUAACUACGUG
This 512-nucleotide ribosomal RNA is filed under the name uncultured bacterium. Its description in RNAcentral is "partial 16S ribosomal RNA". It matches the Rfam family "Bacterial small subunit ribosomal RNA", at positions 28 to 507 of the family's 1533-position model. The record is from RNAcentral.